GGUGUGCCACCACCCCGAUGGCCUGAGGAUUGCCCAGGGAGAGGGUGAUGGAUCCAGCGCCACAGGGUCGGAGAUCACUUUGCGAGCUGCAGGCAUGCCAAACCUUCACUUUGGUGACAUAAUGAGUGUCAGGGUCUCCAUUGCGGGCUAGACUUUCAUAUUAACCCUAGGCUCAAAAAACCUCAUCCUCGACACAGUAACAGCACCAUUGGCCUGCUCCAACUUGACCCAGCUGACCCCCAUCCCCAGCGAUGAGAUAAACAGUGGACAGCCCAAUCCAUGCCAACAACAGGCCCAGCACCAGGCUGCGCUGGGAUGUCGCUAUGGCCACUGCUCUAAAGAUGCUGCUGCUGUACACCCUGGGCAGGUUUGUGUAUGGAGUCUACCCCCUGAAUAACUUCUCUCCAGAGACAGACCAGGACAUAAAAUAAUGUGUGCUCUUGAUUCUGGUCAAGCAGCUCUUGAUUCUGGUCCAGGAGGCGAUUGCCAAAGCCCUGAGGCGAAAACUGAGGAUGCUCUCUGAGCUCAACCAAGGCCAUGGCCCGCUGGAGCUCCAGCUGGUAGACAUGCUCUUCAGUCACUAUGAGGAGGAGUUCCCUUCACAACACCCCCUGGAGCCAGAGGUCUUCCUGGAGGACCUCCAUCUCUGCUUGGAUGUGUAUGGCAUGGUGAGCAGGGUGCUGCUCCAAUGCUGGACCCCCAUGGUGAAAUUCAGAGAAAUUUUCUCUGACAUCAGGGAGAUCAUCCCCAGACUUCAGCUCCAGUUGACUCGCUGAGGGAGCCUUUCUGACUUUACUCUACACGAGCCUUAAAUUGAUACUCGCAGCGAGUCUGCUGAUGAAAAUGAGGAAGAGCUGCAGCUCUUAAAGGGCUGAUGGAAAGGAGAAAAGGUGAAGGAAAGAGUCUGUGACUUCUACCGCAGAGUAUGGAAGAGAUUAAAGUCCUGCACUACCCUUGGCUGUGUGAGCUCUAACUAAAUCACUAGACUCAAAUGAGACUGGACCACCACCACAAUGACCAAUUCAGUUCACUCUGGUCUGAGCUCCAGUUCAGUCUGGUUACAGAUUUUUGCGUAAUAUUUUUGUCAAUUGAAACUUCUAAAAAGUUUAUUGUAAU
This 1116-nucleotide long non-coding RNA is filed under the name Salmo salar (Atlantic salmon). RNAcentral describes it as "lncRNA (ENSSSAG00000121808.1)". Lineage: Eukaryota; Metazoa; Chordata; Actinopteri; Salmoniformes; Salmonidae. The record is from RNAcentral.